Molecule: ribosomal RNA, 248 nt
Filed under: uncultured incertae sedis 5 bacterium
Lineage: Bacteria
Description: partial 16S ribosomal RNA
Rfam family: Bacterial small subunit ribosomal RNA
Source: RNAcentral
GGGUGAGUAGCGCAUCGGAACGUGCCCAGUUAGUGGGGGAUAGCUCGGCGAAAGCCGGAUUAAUACCGCAUACGACCCAUGGGUGAAAGCGGGGGACCGCAAGGCCUCGCGCUAUUGGAGCGGCCGAUGCCCGAUUAGCUAGUUGGUGAGGUAAAGGCUCACCAAGGCAACGAUCGGUAGCUGGUCUGAGAGGACGACCAGCCACACUGGGACUGAGACACGGCCCAGACUCCUACGGGAGGCAGCAG